GGCGAUCAGAUACCGCCCUAGUUCUGACCGUAAACGAUGCCAACUAGCGAUCCGCCAGUCGACUCAUCGCUCUGGUGGGGAGCUUCCCGGAAACGAAAGUCUUCCGGUUCCGGGGGAAGUAUGGUUGCAAAGCUGAAACUUAAAGGAAUUGACGGAAGGGCACCACCAGGAGUGGAGCCUGCGGCUUAAUUUGACUCAACACGGGGAAACUCACCCGGCCCGGACACCGUAAGGAUUGACAGAUUGAUAGCUUUUUCAUGAUUCGGUGGAUGGUGGUGCAUGGCCGUUCUUAGUUCGUGGAGCGAUUUGUCUGGUUUAUUCCGAUAACGAGCGAGACUCUGGCCUACUAAAUAGUUGACGCAUUGCCACUGUGCGCACAACUUCUUAGAGGGAUUUUCGGUGUUUUCAACCGCACGAAAUUGAGCAAUAACAGGUCUGUGAUGCCCUUAGAUGUCCGGGGCUGCACGCGCGCUACACUGGCAAACGCAACGUGCCUGUCCUGCCCCGAAAGGAGCGGGUAAACCCCUGAAAUUUUGCCGUGAUUGGGAUCGGACAUUGCAACUAUUGUCCGUGAACGAGGAAUUCCUUGUAGGGGCGAGUCAUCAACUCGUCCCGAAUACGUCCCUGCCCUUGU
Molecule: ribosomal RNA, 634 nt
Filed under: Rotylenchulus reniformis
Lineage: Eukaryota; Metazoa; Nematoda; Chromadorea; Rhabditida; Hoplolaimidae
Description: SSU rRNA
Rfam family: Eukaryotic small subunit ribosomal RNA
Source: RNAcentral